This 776-nucleotide ribosomal RNA is filed under the name uncultured Neocallimastigales. RNAcentral describes it as "partial large subunit ribosomal RNA". It matches the Rfam family "Eukaryotic large subunit ribosomal RNA", at positions 23 to 620 of the family's 3401-position model. Lineage: Eukaryota; Fungi; Neocallimastigomycota; Neocallimastigomycetes; Neocallimastigales. The record is from RNAcentral.
AGAGAGAGACAUGCGCGCAUAUCAAUAAGCGGAGGAAAAGAAACUAACAAGGAUUCCCUUAGUAACGGCGAGUGAAGCGGGAAGAGCUCAAAUUUGAAAUCUUCAAGGUUUUACCUUGACGAAUUGUAGUUUAAAGAAGUGGUUUUCUGCUGAAGUUUUGGUAAAAGUUCUUUGGAAUAGGACAUCAUAGAGGGUGAGAAUCCCGUAUUUGACCAUUAUUUUCAGCUUUGUGAUACACUCUCAAAGAGUCGGAUUGUUUGGGAAUGCAGUCCAAAAUGGGUGGUAAAUUUCAUCUAAAGCUAAAUAUUGGCGAGAGACCGAUAGCGAACAAGUACCGUGAGGGAAAGAUGAAAAGAACUUUGAAAAGAGAGUUAAACAGUACGUGAAAUUGUCAAAAGGGAAGCGUUUGACACCAGUGUUGUUUUCUCGAAAAUCAAUUAAAAAUGGCUCGAUUUUGUAUUGCUUGAGACCUUAAAAGCUCACUGUACAUUUUUCGUGUCUUUUUUAAUGCACUUUUCGUUUAACAAGUCAACAUCAGUUUCUUUUGUUGUAAAAGGGUCAUUGGAAGGUGGCUUUCUUUUCGGAGAAAGUGUUUAUAGCCUUUGGCCUCUGCAAUCGGAGAGACUGAGGUCUGCAGCGUAGACUCUUCGGGGUUAGAUACAUUUGUGCUAAGUUAUAGCUUUUUAUAGACAACUUGUUGACUAUAAUUAGUCUUGUAGCUUACUCGCUUAUGCUAUUUUACCUACGCUUAGGAUGUUGAAGAUGUAGCACAUCAU